AGGUUGCACGAACAAAAUAUCUACCUUUUUAGGGCUAUUUUGUCGUCUUUUCUUACCUAUGAUGGUCAAGCUGGUUAUGUUUCUUACCGUCAGAGCGAGAAUCUUAACCCUUACAGUGGUGGUGGUUGUUGUCUUGUACAACUUGCCACAAAUCAGUGAUUGCACAUGGUGCUCAAUACACAUACUCUAAUUUAAAUGUUUUGUUGUUGCUGCAUUGCAUUGCCGAGGUACUGAGAGCAGCUACCUUGACAUAGGGCAUGCUCCUGAGGAAGGGGUUGAGGAGGUCAGGGUGAGGGGCAGAGAGAGACUCCCCCAGUUUUAGCUUGUGGCUCUGGUGUACUAGACAAAUUAGCUUAUAUGCUCCUAUUGCGGAAAUUAAUUGAUUAUGAAGCAAAUAAGAUGACGUUGGUCUGUCCCUAAUGCCUUCUUUCAAGCCCUGGUGAGUUCAGAUGUUCUACUUCUCAUAGCUACUUAUGAGCCAUAUUUACAGAUCUGUAAUGAUUAUGCAAUUAUAUUUUGUCUUGCCGCUUUUCAUUUUUAUUCUAGGUCAUUUGUUUAGCCAAAAAAAUGUUGGUUUACCUUUCAUCUAAAGAAAGGCUUUCUAAAAUUGUUAACAUUCUGCCUUAGUAUUCCUGAUGUUGCGUACAUGGUUUCAUGCGUUUCUUUUACCUCCCUUUGAUUAUCGUUCAGCAAAUGUUUGAAUGAAGAUGUCCAUGCUCUAGAAAGUUUCGAUCAAAUUUCGUUGUAUAUGAACCAAGAUCUACAGAUGUCCAUGCUCUACAGGUUACAUGGUGUACGGUACAGUUCUGGGAGUUAGCUGAUGACAGUAUAUUUGCACUUUUAUUUUGGUGCUUAACAGAGUCAGUUGCAGGUGUUAACAGUAUUCAUGUGCACCAAGGAUCUCUAGGAGUUGAGGAGGAAUGAGGAGUCCAUGGCCAUCAAUUGGCGGCGCCAGGAAGCUCAGCAAGAGG
Long non-coding RNA from Lolium rigidum, 971 nucleotides. RefSeq lists it as uncharacterized. Lineage: Eukaryota; Viridiplantae; Streptophyta; Magnoliopsida; Poales; Poaceae. The record is from RefSeq and is a predicted model, not a curated record. The transcript is spliced from 4 exons.